RNAcentral lists this long non-coding RNA (2317 nucleotides) under Orbicella faveolata. RNAcentral describes it as "uncharacterized LOC110039846, transcript variant X2". Lineage: Eukaryota; Metazoa; Cnidaria; Anthozoa; Scleractinia; Merulinidae. The record is from RNAcentral.
AUUUCUUUAGGUUUAGUUAAAAUAUUAUUCAUCUACCACCUGCAGGGAAAAAUUUUUAUUAACCGAUAUUUCAAGUACAUAAGAACGUGCUUUGUUAUCUUUAGAAAUGGAUGAUUUAAAAAGCAAAAGCGCUUUACUUUGCUUUUAGUGCUUGCUUCAUUGUAACAUUGUUUCUUCUUAACUCAACAAGGAAAUUCAUGGUCAUUCAUUUCACUCAAGUUUUUUUUAAGCCCUUGAUGUUGGCCGAUAUAUUUUAUCGGUCUGUCAUAGUUACUAUUUUGAUUCGCUUGCAAAUUCACGAAAGAAAGCUUACGGCCUGAAGAAUUUAACUCCCGGCUUUGGAGACCAAGAAAAAAAUCUUUUUGACUGAGUCGAAAUUGUGAAUAUUUUAGUUUUCGUUCUGCCGGCCGGGCCGUGAUCAUAAUGUCCCCGAUUUGAUGAUUUUCUUAAUUCUCAUUACCUAUCUGCUUGAAAAUGUAUCGAGUUGUAGGGAGAAUUUAGAUAUGAAUCAUUCUUGACGCUUAAAGCUUUUCGAAAUGAAACAAGCGACGAGCAUAAGAUCCGGAAAGAUCAGAGAAAACUAGUCUGGUACAAACGCAAUUUAAUUGACGAGGCAAGUGUAUUUUGAGGCCAAUACCAGCCUUUUUUAUUAUCUAAACAUCAUUAGACAUCAGAUACUAAAUAUGAUCAGCCGUACUUUGAACUGAAACCGCCUUUCACCACAACUCUACAAUUUAACUUCCCGUCUAAGGUCUAAUUCAAAACACCUCCUGUUAAUUAUGCACAUAAUUAUGGCUUAAGCCGGUAUCCAUUUAUAUUAGUUUCGAGUGCAAUCACUUCCUUGACGCUCGCAAGCAUUACUGAGAAAGAAGCCCACAACUCGACUAGGAAAACACAAGCUUUAUGACGUAUAACGAGUCUAAAAUCGUAGAUAUCGUUUUACAACCUGCGACAUACUGAAAAAAGGUUUUGACUAUGGACGAGUUACAGAGAUCCCGGAACGUAGACUCACUUGCACGCUCAGUUUGCUAGGCCUUUGGUCAAAAUUUUAAGGAUGUGAAGAAAUGGCCAAAUAGCCAUAGAAGAGUGAGGCCUUACGGUGCAAAACAAGAAAAGUGCAAAGCAUAUUGUCUGUGUGAAAGUUUGAGACAUCUCGGAACCGUCACCUGUCCAGCUGACGGUAAAAUAACAGCGACGAAGGCAAGAAAACAAGGGACCAAGCCUCGAGAAGAAUUAGAAAUUAGCAUGGUGUGUGACCCUAAAAGAAGAAGACUUGACAAUACUGGUACUUUCCUUACGGCACUGUAUCUUUGCAGUUAUGUUGUACAAGGAAGCUCUGCCUCUUCAGUGAAAGCUGCACAAAGCACAAAAACUAUCAGGUAAGGAUUGACCAAAACAUUUUAGCUUUGGACUUCUUGUGAUAUUACCUUUUAAAAGCUAUUUUUACUCUGAAAAUAACCCUCUCUCCCUUCGUCCCUUCAGCAGUCUUCAGCAGCCCUCUACUAGUUAACAUCUAUACUAUAUAACAAACAGUGUAGUCACCCCUUACUAAAGAUUAAUAUCGGAAAGCCACAAAAAAAUGUCUAUUAUAUUUAGGAGAUUGCAUUGGGAAACACAUGGAAGUUGCAAGGAUCCCAGGUGUGGGUCAGGGAACCAGCAUUAUUAAGUUGCGAUGAGUGCCGUGCAUGUCAGAUUUGCCUGUCCCCACCCAUGGGGGUAAAUUUUCAAACCACUGCAAACAAAUCCUGGCAGGUAAAUCUGCAAAGACCCAGCUUCCUUUAUGUGCUGAAGGGAAGAAGCAAUCCUGAGGGCUUCUUCACCCUACAGAAAUCAUGAUAAGUUCUAGUUGAAAGAGUAAAUUUUACCUGGCUACAGCAUGCAAUCAAAGGGGAUAAACAAAGUUAUCACUGGCAUGCAUCCUUUAGUUCUGCUUACAGUAACUGUCAAAUGCAAGUUGACACUUGAUACUUACACCUAAUCAUACCAUUCUGGUAGGCAAAUCAGGUGAGUUUGGUACCCAUGGCGUGACCGAACCAGCCUAAUGUGCUGCCAAGCAUACCAGAAAGGUACAAUAAGGUAUUUACAGUGUACCAUAUCCAGAUUCGGCCAAGGGACAAUAUUGCAGCCAUAUCAGGUCAGUGGCUUGAUAUCACAGGAUAUCAGGACAGCAGACACAGCUUUUGAUUGGUUAAUUGUGAAUUUGGGUACCAUAAUCGUGAGAAUCAAGUACUGAGUAAUGGAACGAGUAUCAAGACUCAAUUCACUCAAAAUGCGACUCGAUUCUUGACACUCGAUUCACACAACAGUGCUAAUCUUA